RNAcentral lists this ribosomal RNA (480 nucleotides) under uncultured bacterium. RNAcentral describes it as "partial 16S ribosomal RNA". It matches the Rfam family "Bacterial small subunit ribosomal RNA", at positions 28 to 507 of the family's 1533-position model. The record is from RNAcentral.
GAUGAACGCUAGCGGCAGGCCUAACACAUGCAAGUCGAGGGAGAGGUUACCUUCGGGUAACCAAAACCGGCGCACGGGUGCGUAACGCGUAUACAAUCUGCCUUUCACAUAGGGAUAGCCCGAAGAAAUUUGGAUUAAUACCUAAUGGUAUAUAAGAGCGGCAUCGUUUUUAUAUUAAAGCUACGGUGGUGAAAGAUGAGUAUGCGUUCUAUUAGCUAGUUGGAGAGGUAACGGCUCCCCAAGGCGACGAUAGAUAGGGGUUCUGAGAGGGAUGUCCCCCACACUGGUACUGAGAUACGGACCAGACUCCUACGGGAGGCAGCAGUAAGGAAUAUUGGACAAUGGUCGGAAGACUGAUCCAGCCAUGCCGCGUGCAGGAUGAAGGUCCUAUGGAUUGUAAACUGCUUUUGGAAGGGAAGAAUAAGGAGUACGUGUACUUUGAUGACGGUACCUUACGAAUAAGCAUCGGCUAACUCCGUG